UACAUGGGGUGCAAACGUUGCUCGGAAUUACUGGGCGUAAAGAGCUCGUAGGCGGCUUGUCACGUCGGGGGUGAAAGCCCGGGGCUUAACCCCGGGUCUGCAUUCGAUACGGGCAGGCUAGAGUGUGGUAGGGGAGAUCGGAAUUCCUGGUGUAGCGGUGAAAUGCGCAGAUAUCAGGAGGAACACCGGUGGCGAAGGCGGAUCUCUGGGCCAUUACUGACGCUGAGGAGCGAAAGCGUGGGGAGCGAACAGG
This 253-nucleotide ribosomal RNA is filed under the name uncultured bacterium. Its description in RNAcentral is "partial 16S ribosomal RNA". It matches the Rfam family "Bacterial small subunit ribosomal RNA", at positions 524 to 776 of the family's 1533-position model. The record is from RNAcentral.